UACGUAGGGUGCGAGCGUUAAUCGGAAUUACUGGGCGUAAAGCGUGCGCAGGCGGUUUUGCAAGCCGGAUGUGAAAUCCCCGGGCUUAACCUGGGAAUGGCAUUUGGGACUGCAAGGCUGGAGUGCGGCAGAGGAGACUGGAAUUCCUGGUGUAGCAAUGAAAUGCGUAGAUAUCAGGAGGAACACCGAUGGCGAAGGCAGGUCUCUGGGCUGACACUGACGCUCAUGCACGAAAGCGUGGGGAGCAAACAGG
Molecule: ribosomal RNA, 253 nt
Filed under: uncultured bacterium
Lineage: Bacteria
Description: partial 16S ribosomal RNA
Rfam family: Bacterial small subunit ribosomal RNA
Source: RNAcentral